UUGAAUGAACUUGGCUUGGUUGUUGCUGGCUUUUGCAAGUGCACGCCUUGUCAUCUUUAUAUCUCCACCUGUGCACCUCUUGUAGACCUGAAUUCAACUUUUCCGAGGCAACUCGGUCGUGAGGAAUUGCUUUGAUUAGCUUUCCUUGGUAGUGUUCAGGCCUAUGUUUUUCAUAUACACCAUAAGAAUGUAACAGAAUGUAAUUAUUAGACUUUUGAAGUCUUAUAAACUAUAUA
Molecule: unclassified non-coding RNA, 236 nt
Filed under: uncultured Stropharia
Lineage: Eukaryota; Fungi; Basidiomycota; Agaricomycetes; Agaricales; Strophariaceae
Description: sequence contains ITS1
Source: RNAcentral